This 502-nucleotide ribosomal RNA is filed under the name uncultured bacterium. RNAcentral's name for it is "partial 16S ribosomal RNA". It matches the Rfam family "Bacterial small subunit ribosomal RNA", at positions 28 to 507 of the family's 1533-position model. The record is from RNAcentral.
GACGAACGCUGGCGGCGUGCCUAAUACAUGCAAGUCGAACGAACCGCGACUGAGUGCUUGCACUUGGUCAAGGUGAGUGGCGAACGGGUGAGUAACACGUGGGUAACCUACCUCAUAGUGGGGGAUAACAGUCGGAAACGACUGCUAAUACCGCAUAGGACAUAGGAUCACAUGAUCCAGUGAGGAAAGUUGGCGCAAGCUAUCGCUAAGAGAUGGACCCGCGGUGCAUUAGCUAGUUGGUAGGGUAAAGGCCUACCAAGGCGAUGAUGCAUAGCCGACCUGAGAGGGUGAUGGGCCACAUUGGGACUGAGAGACGGCACAAACUCCUACGGGAGGCAGCAGUAGGGAAUCUUCCGCAAUGGACGCAAGUCUGACGGAGCAACGCCGCGUGAGUGAAGAAGGUCUUCGGAUCGUAAAGCUCUGUUGUUAGAGAAGAACAGCGCAUAGAGUAACUGCUAUGCGUGUGACGGUAUCUAACCAGAAAGCCACGGCUAACUACGUG